CCGGACUCCUCGCAGCCAGGUGGCUUGAAAGCGAUGAAGCUGAUGCACUGUACUUGCCUGGUGUUGUCGAAGCCGAUGAUGCGGACAUAGGCGCCAGGGUAUUCCUUCUUGACCUCCUCCAACUCCUUGAGCACCUGCGUGGCGUCAGUGCACCCGAACAUGGGAAGCUUCCACAUUGUCCAGUACCUCCCGUCCUAGUACCCUGGGGAGUUGCCGUGCUCACGGAAGACGAAACCGACCUUGCUGAACUCGAGGCAAGGAACCCAUUUGGAGCGGAUGAGAUACUCGAUCUGCUUCAGGAGGGACUCCACGGUGAGAGGUGGCAGGUAGGAAAGGGUCUCGAACUUCUUGAUGCCCUCAAUUGGCCACACCUGCAAUUAGAUUAAAAUUAGCACACAAAGUGUGAUUUGAGACACAUAUCGAUGGAGUAUUUCACUUCACACAUAUCGGUAUGAUGAUAUACAUACCUGCAUGCUCGUGAUCCUGCCACCGUUGGAGACGCUGCCGAGGCCAGCGCCGGCAGAGCGGCGGCUGACGGGGAGCCCGGCGGUGGACUUGAGGCCCCGGAAAGGAGCAACAGCGGUAGCCGCCGCCGACAUCACUGUCGGACCCAUAGCAUCCACCCUUGUAUCACUAGAGUAUAUCUACUUAGCUAAUAUGCUAAGUUUGGCACGGAGAGAGGAGGUCGAGUGGACUUCAUUCCUGGUCACAAGGGUUUAUAUAUACCAUAUAACAUACGAGCAAUUUGUGAUUAAUUUGUUGUCGUUCUAGGAGAUGUGGAAAGGGUGGAUGCCGUUCGUUGGUUGCCUUAUCCGUUCUAGAGAAGGGAUGGAUGACCGACGCUCGCUCAGCCGUCUCCUUCGUCCAUCGUUGCCAAUCUUUCUAGCUAUAAUUGGAAGUUCCAAAGGAACAUACGGUUUCAUGCCUACUUCCAUCGGCCUAUCAUGUACCAAUCCAAUAAAAGGACAUCGUUCAACCAUCAAUCCAUGUGUGUGUAGUAAGUGAUUGGCUACGAACCUUCAGCUGACUUGCUUUAUUGGAUAUUUCUGUAAAGCGAGUCCACGGUGUGUGGGUUUAAAAUCUCGUGGCGGCAACUGUUGACGGGUGCAAAUAUCAGUAGCCUUAAAACAAUAAACUUUACUCCGUCCCUUCCGAAAUGCAAGAAUGUCCUAAGUCAAACUUCUUAUGCUGCAGGACCAUAGUUUUUGAGGUGUUCUUCUCACGAGUCCACGAAGAACGGGAAUUUUUUGGUGUCGGGUAAGGGCGGGGGAAUAUAUAGAUGCUAGCAUCAGCAUGACGGGCUAACGGGUCAGGUAGGAUUUUGGACGACGUAGCACCUGACAUGUGGGGGCCACAUGUAAGAAAACCUGUCAAAAUGUCAUAACCCUCUGUUUUGGUCAACUUGAUACAAUCUGAUACAAAACGUGUGGUUUUCCUGACAAAUUAGCAAAUUUUGUGUCUCUGUGAGAAGCACGCCCCAAAAACUGUGGUUCCGUGAAAUUUAUUCACUAGUUACACUUUAUCUACAAACAUCUACGAUUCUAAAAUAGUUUGGUAUAUAUUUUCCGUAAUAUAAUUAUUUGAUAUUCUAAAUUCGGGGAUUUGUUCUUAUAAACUUGGUCGAAGUUUAAAAAGUUUGACUUCGGACAAAGUUACGACUUUUUACAUUUAGGAAUGAAGGGAAUACAUUUUAGUAAAGCAAUUGAGGAAUUGACAGAAUUAAAUAUCUUAAAUUAUACUGGUCCAUCGUGUACUCAUGGCAACAAAAUAAAUUUAUAGUCGAAAAGUUGGACCAUGAAAACUUAAAACGUGAUACAUUAAAAUUGUUGAAUCACUCUACAUCUUGUAAUUUUCUCUUGCAACCUUCUGGCGCGCUACUCAUUCCACAUUUGGUACUAUAUGUAUAAAUGUAUAUAUAUACCGCAUUAGGAGCCUCUAUUACUGUUUUAGUAUAAAUAGCAGUUUCCAUCGACUAUGCACUUCAUUAACUUUUUCUUCACGAGAUAACUUGCUUAUCGAUUUUCUUUAAUUAUCCAGAUGGCUUCUACUAGUUUGUUUCCUUGCUUACUGGGAUUUCCGCAGACUUUACGGUUAGGUAUUAUUGUCGUGUGGACAACACGGUGGCCGGAUGUUGAGAUGAUGAUGUCCUUUAUCUCCGUGUUGCUUCUGAGGACUGCGGAUCCGAGGCUAGUGGCGGUAUGGGAUGCCUCUCUACCUCUUGAUCAGGUCAAUCCGGCUCAGCAAGAGGCGGAUCGAUGGUGGCCGGUGUGACUAGAAGCGGGGAGGUAUAUAUGAAACGUUUCUUGCUUCCAGCAUCUCUUCUAGCGGUAUAUAUGUCGUCAGCUGGUUGAGGGAUUGAUGGCAAUCGAUCAUGGCUACGAUGACAUGUAUACGCGCCGGUAGGAACACAUAUCAGGCAAUGUCGAUGCACCUGCAUUGGGCCCUUGCUGAAGGUGGUGGUGCGUAUGGCAGUCUAAAGAUUUAAGACACAAAUUUAGACUUAAAACUUAAAUAAUCAAUUUGUGCCAGCGGGAAACACACAAACACGUACCGGUAAAUUAUCAUAAUCAGAAUUUGUCGACGAAUUUGAUAUUCUUUUACAAAAUAUACUUAUCUUAAUAUGUAUAACCGGAGUUUAUAUUACAUGCCCCUCUCCCAACGAUAGUUGUAGUACUCUUAUAAUAGUAGUACUCAUGAAUACAGUUAAUCCGGGUUGUUGGGAGAGAUCACAUGCAUAAAUACAACAUGAAACAAACGUGUGAAAAAGGUACAUAAAAUCGGUGUGACCCGUUCUUGUAUUAUAAGAAAUCAACUUGCUUAGGCCUUGCCGGACUCCUCACAACCCGGUGGCUUGAAGGCGAUGAAGCUGAUGCACUGCACUUGCCUGGUGUUGUCGAAGCCGAUGAUGCGGACAUAGGCGUCAGGGUACUCCUUCUUCACCUCCUCCAGCUCCUUUAGCACCUGCGUGGCGUCGGUGCACCCGAACAUGGGAAGCUUCCACAUUGUCCAGUACCUGCCGUCGUAGUACCCGGGAGAGUUGCCGUGCUCACGGAAGACGAAACCGACCUUGCUGAACUCGAGGCAAGGAACCCACUUGGAGCGGAUGAGAUACUCGAUCUGCUUCAAGAGGGACUCCACGGUGAGAGGCGGCAGGUAGGAAAGGGUUUCGAACUUCUUGAUGCCCUCAAUUGGCCACACCUACAAUUAGAUUAAUAAUUAGCACCGAAAGUAUAAUUUGAGACACAUAUCAGUAUUUCACUUCAACAUAUGUACAUGAUGACAUACAUACCUGCAUGCACCUGAUCCUUCCACCGUUGGAGACGCUGCCGAGACCAGCGCUGGCUGAGCGGCGGCCGAUGGGGAGCCCGGCGGUGGACUUGAGGCCCUGGAAAGGAGCAACGGCAGUAGCCGCUGACGACAUCACUGUGGGAGCCAUCGUACACGUACGUAGAUAGCUAACAAGAGGAGGCAGGCUUGCUUGAGUGCUCUCUAGCUACAGCGGCUUAUAUAACUGUAGGCUCCCCACCCAUCCAAUAUCAGCACAAGAUCUAGGAGGGGUGGCUGCAGUUCGCCGCGCGGAUUUGCCCAGGCCACGCUGGCAUCCUACGGAUCAGGUCGGGCGCCACAUGGCCGCACGAAAUGGCGCGCGUUAUCCUCUGGACGGAUACAAUUGGCUGCAACGCACUCUGCAAAUCAUGCCAUGAAGUGACCAAUUUUCACCUAUCAGGAUAGAUCCAAUGUGCCACGGCAUGCACUCAAAAACAGAACUUGCUAAUCCCUCCAAUCCAUAAAAAAUCUCGCCCACUUAUUAGAAAAUUUGUAAUGAGUUAAUGCAAAAUGAGCAGCACUUUUUAUGAACUAGAGGAACAACAAAUUAAGAGAAACUCUUCUAAGAUCUUAUCGAGAACGAAGCUUGCCCCCGCGUCGCUCAGUCUGGGGCGACACGGGCGGCAACCACACCAGCCCCGGCAGCAGCCUCUCCCCGUCCUCUCCUCCCCCUCGCCGCCGCCGGGCAAAGCCCGCACGGGGACGGCGGCGGCGGGGCUGUUUUUCUUGGCGGGGGUGUCCUAGAGCUCUUGGCUGAGGCGUUUGAGGUGCUGCCUCAUCGUGGUCGCGGCGUCUCCGGCCCGAUCCGGCAGGCUAUGCCUCGUCUUCGGCUAGAUCCGGCCGGCUUCCUCCCGGAUCCGGUGUUUCCCCUCGUUCUUCCUCUCCCUGGUGCUCGGUCUGCUCGUGGCUGCGCGGCUUCACGGCGGCGCUCUUCGGCCGGAUCUAGCUACUCGUUGGCCAGAUCCGUCAUCUCCUCCGGCUGAUCCGGCAUGUCCCAGGUCUCUUCGUUUCCAUCAUUUUUCCUCUCAGUUUGGUGAGGCGGCUGAUUGAACUUCACCGGCGGCAGAUGGGCUGCUGCUGCGGCCAUACAUGGUCCAAGUCGGUCCUUUUCGAUGCCAUGGUGGCGUGGUUUUCAUUUUCGGUCGCGUCUUCGGCUGCUGCCCGUGUGCGAGGUAUGGACGUCGGCUCCGGUGUUUGGAGUGUUGCUCUGGAUGAAAACUGCCCGUGUGCGAGGUAUGCCGAAGACAACGAUGUUGUAGCGCCGUUUUCCUUCUUGGAGGUGUCGUCGAAGAGCUUCACUUUCCCUCACUUUGAUGUUUGGUGUCUUCGGGUGAAAACCUAAGAUUUGGCUAUGGCCAGAUCGGGCGACAACGGCGUUUUUACGUCGAUUUCCUCCUUGGGGGCGUUGUCAUGGAGACAACGACUCUUGGUGGCAUCGGGUGGUGUGGUCCGUCUAUGGUGGAGCUUGUUGUCUCGAGUUGUUGAAGGUUUGGUGGUGUCUCUUCUUGUGUCAUGUGUUAGCUUAGGCUGUCGGUUUGUGUCCGGCGAGAACGUGCGUUUCUUAUCCUUUGGUGCGGUUUCGGCAUGUGAUGCCUUUCGUCUUCACUAUCGUCACGUAGGUGUCGUGUUGUAUUCUCGGUGGUGUGUGGUCUUUCGGCUUAGCCAACGGCAAGUGGAGGUAUGAUCUCGGUUGUGUAUUGCCCUUCGACUUCAUCGGCGGCACAUCGGCGUCGCGGUGGGUCUCAGUGACGCGCAGCCCUUCGACUCUGCCGGCUACGUAGGUGUCAUGGUGCGGCCUUGACCCUGUGCUUCCCUUCAGCUACGGCGACGACAUAGUGUCUGGGUGGGCUCGUCAGAUCGACGCCUUUCGACUACAUCAACUAUGCUCUUCAUUGUGCAUUUAUUUUGCCAUUGACAUGUUUCAAGAGUCUAGGUUUUUUCCUUGUGUUUCUUUUAGCAAAUGCUGUUCUGCAGGCUGGCUUUUGCCCACCCGAUCAGAAAAGAAAAACAAAUUAAAGGCUAAAAUCAAGCGAUGUUAUAUUCCCUUAGCUAUUACAAAUAUGGAUGAUAAGAGUUAUUUAUCCUUUUUCAACGAGUAACCCUUUACUUGGAAGUUCCAUGUGCAUGGCGCUGCAAGAAAACAAACAUCAUAAUGGGGCAAGACUUUUUUUUUUAUAAACAUCCAAUUUGGGUUAAAGUCUGAAAGAAUUUGGCUAUCUGAACUUUCAGUUUCCACAUUCUUUUACCUACUCAAUUCUUCAGCCAACAGGAUCAAUGGCGACCUACUAACACCAACCAGAACACAUGGGUCACAAACACGAAAAAGGGCUAGAAGGCUACUUAUACACACUCAUGUGUACUGCGAGCAAAAGAACAUAAUGUACAAAACUUUACAAAAUCUAGGGAAUUAAGACCUUCCCGUAUGCUGUUGCUGCCGCUGCUGCUUCAUGCUGGCUCUCCUGGCAACAUCCCAUGGUUUGUGAGGCACACCUACACCUUGCUGGGAUGCGAAGAACGACUCGUAUCCCGGGGAGUCGAAAGCAAAACCAGUGUGCUUGGAGUUCUCUCGAGGGAGCAUGGAGAUCGCAUAGCUUCUUGCUUCUUCUGGGCUCAAAUGGCUCCUCUCAGGCAGAUGUAUCAUGCUGUAUUCGUGGGGGUCAUCCUUGUGCAUCUCCUGGAUUACUUGGUAGUCAUAGGGAAAGAGCCAUCUUUGGAGCCUGAGAAAGCACACAGCAUCAAAGACAACAAUUGAUUCAGCUACUUCAGUAUGUACAAUGGAAGGAAUAACAAACGGAUGGCAUUAACAAACAUAUAAUUUUGCAAAAGAGCUGGUAUCUUACGAUAGAUACAGGAAAUCACCAAAGAGAGCGAUGACUGGAGCAAGCAUUAGUGUGAGGUAGAAGAAAAAGGUACUCAUCAGAACAUAAAUCACAAAAUAUACAUUUUCCUGCACAAGGUACACAGCAUUAAGUCAAUGCAUUUGUAGCAAGUAAUCGUCAUCAGCAGUGUAAUAGCUACAUUAUUCACCCACCUGUCGGUCAAAUGAUGUCAUUAUCGCAGAAUAUAUGAAGAUAAACAGAAACCAGGCCGCUAUACUGCCAGCUACGCUGAAAUAAUGCCAUCUCGUGAUAGAAUUGCACGACAUGAGGAGACGUAGAUUAACAGUCACCACAACACAAGUAAAGGCCAUCGUGCUAACAUCCCAUUGACCAAGAAUCUUGCCAGAUGAACCGUGACCAUGCUGACUUGCAGCUGCAGUAAAGUAAUAGAACACUAUUGACUGGUAGAAGGCAAAGAAACCCCACACCGCAAUCACUUUCCACCGGAAGAAUGUGUUCCUAAUUCCUUCUUGGUAAAGUUGUGGGUAUUUUUUUGAUAGAGAUGCACUCACAUCCUGAAAGGGUUCAGUUUAGUGAAUGUAGCAAGGAGCGUCACUCCAGAACAAGAAAAGUAGAACAAAUACAAGCAACCAUACCUUAUCAAACAACCCAACCAUAAUUACAGGUAGUGCCGUGAAAAUGACAUUAUACAGAGACUGGAACCAGUCAUCAUAAAAUCGCUGACCAGAAAAGCCAGUUUGGAAAGUGAACCAGAACUGAGUUAGUGUAAAAGUCAGAUUCUUGUAGAAGAAGUAUGUGAUAACCUGAAACAGAAAGUGUCAAUGUUAAAAAAAUUAAACUACACAGAUUGGCAGCUACAAGCUAAGGGACCAAAGCAUACCUUGCACAAUCUCAAGUAUGACCACCGCCCAUGUACAAGAAGUAAAUCCGUAAGAUAUCGAAACUGAGCAAUGGCAAAAUCACUCGCCAUAACAGCUUGCAUUCCUUCUUGUCCGCUGAUGCCAAUACCAACAUGAGCAGCUUGAAUCAUACUCACAUCAUUAGCACCAUCACCAAUACUGAGAGUUAUCUUACGUGCACCUUUCCUAACUAAACUUGCAACCUACAAAUGUGUCAACAUUACAUGUUUUGGCAUCAUUCGAACCCAACAGGUUAUUAGGAAAUAAAUCCAAAAAUAAGAGACUUUGAGAUUGCUGAUGGGAUGGGUAACAACCAAAUAAGCACAUAUACAAUAAGUUAAUUAAUACUACCUUUGUUUCAAAAUAUUAUACCAAAACGUCUUAUAUUUUGAAACAGAGAUAGUACUUAUAGUACAAGAGUGUACAGGACAUUUAGUUAAGAGGCCAAAACUAGAAUAGCAAAAGCAACCAAUGCACAGUGGUUAAUAAUGAUCUUGUGAAUCAUGCACAAACUAUUUUGUUGUCAAGGUACAAAAUUGGAUCCUUUAAAAUGUAAUAAUAUCAAUAUCCCCCGUUUAUUGCCCAAGCAUCCUGAAAGGCAUGCAGCUGAGAGCUGCAGACCAUACUGCUAAUUAUUUCAUGGGAAAAGGCAAGGCAUGCAUGAUAAGAACGCUAAAAGCGAGAAUUGAUAUUUACCUGUGCCUUUUGCAGUGGAGAAACUCGACAACAUACAACUGAUUGGCAAAUUAAACUCAAACCAAGAAGAUUCACACGCAGAGCUGGGUCUAGAGCGUACAUCAAGCAUCGUCCAUCAAUAAUGAAAGCCAACUUUCGUCCUGGCGUGCUCCUCAAAGAACGGUGGGCUUCCUCAAGGUAACUUCUCAGACUCUGUUUUACCGAGUCUUUGAUAACACGUGCAAUUUCCACAGGGUCUCCCUGAAAAUGACUGGAACAUUAUUCAUGGCAAAGAUAUGUGCAUAAGUUGAUUUACAUCAAUCAGAUACAAAUGCUAAAUUGCUAAUUAUGGUUGAUCAAACUGCAAAACACACGAGAUAUCCAAAAGGCUAUAUAAACAUGAUGGAGAGGCUAAAGCACUGAAACAACAGAAUCAACAUAAAGUAUUUUGUACUAUUAUGCAACUAAGCCUUUUGUCCCAAGCAAGUUGGGGCAGGCUAGAUAUGAAACCCAAACAGAAACUAAAGCAAAGUGCAGGUAACAAAAGAGCAAGAGAGUAAAUCAAGGUUCAGGCACAUGGACUGCUGAUUUCCAUGCAGCCCUAUCAAAAGCAAAAUCUCUAGAUACAUUCCAGUCCUUCAAGUCCCUUUAACUGCCUCCUACCAAAAGCAAAUAUCAUAGUAAUCCACCAACCAAAGUAACAAGGGAACUACUUGUAACUUCUUAGUUCACAAGUACAUACCAGUUGAGCUAUCCAAUUAUUCUAAAUAAUAUGGUUUGAUACCUUUACCAAAGUCUCAACUUGUAUUCAUUUUAAAGCUUAUACAAGAUAUUAUAUGUUAUGGCUUAACAGUCUCCAUGACACAAUAUGGCUUGACUUCACAGUUUAAUUCUAUAGGAUUAUCUUACCCUGUCUUCAGCAUCUCUAAUUGCAUCUGUCUCAGAAGUGAUGAUGAAUUGUUUUGUAUCGUUAUUCACCAGGCUGCACGCUGCAGAGCAAAAACUAAAUAACUUCAGAAGCUUUUCUAUGUCAGGUGAAAGAGAGAGAAAAAGACCGCCCGCCCCCCACCAAUAAUCCAAAACUGAGCUUCUAUUAGACCCCUUAAGAACGAAACAAGCAUGCAAAUUGAUCUAUAUAUAAUUAAAACCUCACCAUAUGCUAUAUUAAUUGCUGUUUCCAUUUUAUCUCCAGUUAGCACCCAAAUUUUUAUGCCAGCUGCAGAAAGAGUUUCAAUGCAGGCUGGAACCCCUUCUUGCAGUUUGUCUUCUAUUGCAGUGCACCCUAUCAAUAUAAGGUCCUUUUCAAUCAACUCAGCCACCUACAGGGGAAGAAACAGAAGGAAAUUAUAUGGCAAUGUCCCAGCAAUAUCUUAAAUCAGAAUAUACAUUAAGUCUAUUACUUCAAAUUCCUUUUUCCUAGAAAUCACAGUGAACUUAGUACAUGAAAGAAUGAAAGGAUAAUGCUUUUCUAAUGGGGAUUUGAAAAAACAUCAUAAAAAUAAUAAUAUAAAGUACUGUAUGUUCUUGUUCUAGAUAAAUUACAAAUAUCUUUUGCUCAUGAUCCUCUUUCCUGACUAAAAAAUAUAUAUUAUUAUGUAAAAUACUAAUGUUCUAUGGCAGUACAAGAUAAUAAAUUAGCACAAAAAACUAUUAAACUGCAAAUGUCAGCUGUUAGGGAUGGAUGACAUGACUCCUGUAGUUUUGGGGGGAGAGAGAGAGGAGACACACUGAACAAAUUACUUCCUUCGUCUCCAAAGAUUGCCAUGCCACAUUCUAUUCGGUCAGUCAACCUUUUACAACUUCAAAAUUAACAAUUAUAAGUGAAUUGAAUUACUACAUGAAAAAUAACAGCACUCAAUUUGCUUGCAUAAUAAUUUGUACGCAAAACUUUUGCUUGUAUAUUAGCAUAGAAAUCAUAGCCAGAGUUUUAUGUUGGGAGAAUAUAAAAUUAAAAAAUGGCCUACAUUUGUCAGGUACAUUCAGUUAAUUGUUUCCAAAACCAAAUUAAUUUUCAUACAUAAAUACCAAACGGAUCAAUAGCAUGCUCAACAGUGCACAUGAGACUCGAGUUCAGUACUGGAUGACAGAAAGUAAAAAAAAUCAGGCAAGCACUAGAAGGUGGAGGGGAAGUAAUCGAAAUUCAAAUCACAGGGACUGUUCAGCCUGUAUACUCAACAGAAGAGGAUGGUACACAUACCUCAUCAAGCUUCUUAUCACGAUCUCGUAAAGAAGAUUUAGCUUGAACAAACUUCUCAUUCCAGCUUUCGUACUGCUCCCUGCUUAGAUCUCGAUAAGCAAGGCAAAGCGUGCGCAAGCCAGCAGAGCCAAAUUGUUCUAGAUGUUCUCUGCUUGUCUUUUUAAUGUCAUGAUUUCCAUCAGCUAACCGUUCAAAAAUGACAUUAUCAGCGCCCUGUUACACAACAUUUGUAUAAGGUUAGUGCAUCAAUCUACAAAGUGAUAGCUACAUAAAGAUUCUUUUUUCUUGUAUUACCUUGCAAUACAGAACAAGUUUUCCAUUUGGGAAACGGCAAACCACAGAUUGGCGCUUUCUUGUACUGUGAGUGCAGUAAAGUGUGAAGUGCAGAACAAUGAUUUCAUCUUGUCAAAUUUAAAUUGAAAACAGAUAAACCAGACCUGUUGAAUUCCAAAACAUUCAGAAUUUCAUAUGCAACAUCUUGUAUACUCCCCAUCCUCUCAACAUGUGAUUCCCGAACCAAGACUGUGGUUGGCGUACGUCUACAAGACAGGCACAAAAUGUCAACCACCGGCAUUGCCAUUCACAAUAAAAAUGCCACAUGAAAUAAUUUGCAACAAAAAUCAUAAGAACUUAGAUGAGUUCAUGUUCACAGCACUUGCUUUAACACUUGUCUUAAUUUACAACGGCAAUUUUUUGUUGAUGGGCUAAUAGUUUAUUUAUGCUUCUUAGUAUGUACAUUCAGUCCUUCAUACAACAAACUAUAUAAGCAAUAACCUGGGUGAGUGACUCUUUUAUGCACAUUUUCCUUGGGACCAUAGCAUAGUUUUUUAAGAUACCUUGUUUGCAACAAACUGAUAAGAGGAAUCUAUAACUGUAUUUAAAGGCAAGGUAAGACAUGCCUAUAAAAGAAGAAACCAAAAUUCUUCGCAGCAGCGACAAGCGCGGCCUCGUCGGGAGAGGCAGCUUGAUAAGUAAUCUUUUCCGGUGUCUCCUCACCCUCAGGAAGAACUGUAUGACAGAUUGCAAGGCAUCUGCAGAAUUGCUAUAGAGCAAAUAACAAAGUUGUUACACAACUAGCACAUUAACAAGGGAAAAUGUGAAAAAGGAAAAUAGGUUCCAAAUUUUAUUAGUAAGGGCAUAUAUCGUGAUAUGUGAAUAAUUUGUGUCAACUAAAUCAAAACUGAUUAUGACCAAAGGGGAACCAAUCGAACUAUUCCACAGGUAGUCCCGUAUUUACCACGCAAGCAUCAGGAUUAGGUUCAUUUCUCCAUGCACCACGCAUUAUUCUAGCAUCAUCAAAGUUGAAUCCUUUCUCAUGAACUGCAGUGGCUGAUCUUUUACCCUAAAAAAGGCAAGUAAACUGGAUAUUAAAUCAGUUGUGCAUUAAAUUUUUCAUCAUAUACCACCACACUUCAAUAGCGUAAACAACAAAGAAAAUGUUGUAGACCUCAUCAUCAUCAAUCUUGACUCCGGCUCGCUCGGCUCCUCCUUUUUCAAUCUCUGUGAUGCCAGUUCCAUAUAUUUCCCCUCCAAUCGAACAUUUAAAGAAUUCCAUCAAGUUUCUUGUAAGUGUUCCAGUUUUGUCAGAAAAUAUAUACUCAACCUGAACCAUUAGUGGGGCAAAAAAAAUUUGGCAGAAAUGUCAAAUUAUUUGCAAGUGUUAAGUGCAUUUUAGUACCACUCGGCAUUUGUUCAGUCAUAUAAGCAUUUCUGGGGAUCUAGAACAGUUUUUCGGUGGGAGUAAGUCACUUAAUAUUAGUGAAAUGAGACUGUUCCCCAAGUGCUUAUAAUUGAUCCCACUUUCUGGAAUGAGUCGGUGCAGUGAGGUCAUUCUAUCCAUUAACCAAACCCAGCCAUAUAGGUCAAAUAAGUAAAUAACCCCAUUUCAGCAACAAACAAAGGGGCUUUCAUCAAACUAAACAGAAUGCUAAGGAACAAAAAAAAAACUGAUAUUACCUGCCCAAGCUCCUCAUUCAGAUUAGAAGUCCGAGCCAAAGCUGGGGUGUUGCUCUCGGCAUGAUACAUAUUCAGAUCAUUGUUAAUAAACUUUGCACACUGAAUGAAUUUGAUCAUCUGCCAGCCAAAAUAAACAUAAGGUCCAAUCCAAAUACAGGGUACACUAAAUGAUAAAUUGGUCAAUAUACCUCAAUGGAUACAUAAAGAGAAAUGGGGAUGAUCGUUGAGUAUAGAGUUAUUAGAGUAAACAUAGUUAAAAUGGUCACCUGCAAAAGUACAAACCUAUGAUAUAAGGCCACUUAGAGAAUAUUCUCUACAAUAAAUUAACUAAAAUAAUAUAUACCACAAAUCUGUUCUUGGGAUUAAACUGGUCCUCGACACGCCCACGCAAUCCAAGAUAGAAGUAUUUCUCAUUAAUAAACACGCCACUGUUCACAAAAGCCAAGUAUGAUGAGUCCAUUGGUAGAGUUUUAGGUUUCUAAAGAACGUGCAAGCUAAGCAGUCAUAGUUACCAAAAUCUAUAUGCUGAACAGAGCACUUCCAUUUCUGACCAUCUAGAAAGUGCCCUAUUAUGUACCUCCCACAUAAAACCACUAAGAAAAAAGAUAAGGCUAUUAAGACCUAGUCAUGUGCUCAUCUAUACUGCUCCUAUGCCACAAUAAAAAAAUAACUUCCCCAAACAAGCUCCUGACAACUCAUGUCAUAAUGUUUAAAGUUUAUCUCUCUAUUAACAGUUGUUUUUUCAUGAUCAAUUAAAUUGUGAAAAAUGAUUGUGCAAGCAUAAGCCUCCACAACAUCAACCUAACCGAUAUAACUCAUGUUCAGAGAAUAUACAUGUAAACAAUAAUACAAGAUAGAUAAGUCAAAUAAAUGAAGUGGGCCAAAUAAAACACUGACCUUCCAAUAGCACCAAUGACACACAUCGUAAAGAGGGUUGCAAAUAGAGCAAGAAUAAGCUUGUCUAGUUUCUUCUCCAAUGUACUUCUUUUAGAGGGAACAUUCAUAGAAUUCAUCAUAACCUGCAAUAGUGUCCCACUGCAGUAAAUCUCAAAACUAGAAGCACAUCUAACCUACAAGUUGAAUAUAUAGGGACACAAAAUUGCACAUACUUUCGUCUCAUGGCCCGUGAAUAUAACAGCCGCGACAAUGUACUCUGUAUUACGAAGGCUGCAUCCCUGUGGCAAAGUGGUAAUAAGAGGUUGCAUGUGUGCCACAUAAAGAGAGAGAAUUAAGUGUCAUGCAAGACACCGUUCAGUCUGGUGAAAGUAAACAUUUCUUUUGCACUUUACAAACAUUGCUUCAACCCUUCACCACUUAUCCUACAUAUGGGACUAGAGAAGAAAUGGAAGUUGUUUAUAUGAAUGUUAAACAUUUCCAAAUUGUUUAUAUCAUAGCUAUCCUUGUUUGCAAACCAAUAAGAACAAUAUUAUUAUAGAGGUGUUUUAUGAUGAAAAUUUCUGCUGGUGACAUUUGGGUGUCGUCAAUAUUGGUAUUUGGAGGAGAUGUUGGUGAUCAAAGUUAAAGGCCGAGUAAAGGCAUCACGCUAUGAUGUUAUUUUUUACCUGAGGGAUUUUCUUAACAAACUCAUGCUAAAUCUAGAACAUGCAAACAACUUUGCAGGUGGACAAUCUUGUAAAGAAAUUUCAAGGGCAUGUUUGUGUGAGGGGUAUUACUUUGGUACGUGUUGGUAACUACAUACCUAAUUGUUACAAGAAAAAUCUCAUCCAAACAAGCCCUAAGGACAUUAUGGACCUUGCUACUGCAAAGUUGGUAAGUCGAAAAUACGACAGGAUGUCUGAUUGAUAUGUAGGACCUGGACCCACAUGUCAUUCUCACAGCGAGUCGCACUAUUUCAAAUGUCAACUUUGUGGUGGCAUGGUUUCAAUUUUCCCAAUAAGAAACUAGAUACAAAUAGCAUAGAUGAACAGCACUUACCCUUAGUAGUAUUUGAUUUGGUGAAAUUGGUAUAGUUUGCUUGUCCACAAUAAGGUUCCCGGUAAAUGUAUAAAGUGAAUUGUUUGGCUGUUCGCAUUGUAUUUCACCUGUAAGCCAUGAAACAUACAGAUAAUGUGAAGUUAAGAAAAUGUAGAAUAGUUAAGUGAAGUUCAGAAAAGGAGCAAUGCUUCCUACACCAACUACCGAAAAAUGUCUGCAACAUGGAACAAGAAUAGAUAAAAACCUUUGAAUUCAGAAGCCUUUUCAGGAAUUACGCAGUCCCAGGUUUUCUCCAAAGCCUUCCUUAUUUUCAGGUUAGUUUCCCCAUCAAGAUUUGCUGUCUAAGGUAAAUAGAAGUAUGAUACACUUCAAUUAAAACAGAGUUUCUCUAAAUCAUUCAAUAAUUUCAAUUUGGACAAAAGAUGGAGAAGGUAAGAAUGAAUAUAUUGACCUCUAUGUAGCAGACACCAUCAGGGUUCGUACUUGAUAGGAAGAGCAAGUCAGAAGGAAAGUAAGUGUCUUGCUUGAUCUGCUCUAAAGAAGUGCCAUCACUAUUAGUCUUUUUGGAUAUGUGUAUCGAGCUGAAGAUUAAAUUUGCACAGCACAAAAGAUCAAGUGCAUUAAUUUGUGGAAGCAACAGAUCAAUUGAAUUGAUCAUCAAAUUGCUAUCAGGAAAGAUGAAGACAUUACCCUCACAAUAUCUCCAACCUGCAGUCUUUUCCAAGGGGCACUUUCCCAUUUUUGACCUUGCAAUACAUCGACGUGCGCAUUAUUAAUUGACAUGUCAUUCUGGAAACGUUUCUGUAUAAUGGGAGGCAAACAAAAAGGGAAGAAUAUCAGAUAACAUUAAGAAUAGCAAUAAAAUAGUGGAGCAACAGAGCAUGAGAGCAAUACUAACCCAGUCCUCAAAAGCUUCCUUGAUGAGUGAAACCAAAAGCACUAAACUAAGUGGAACCACAUUGGUGACAGGGUGGACUGGACUGCGAAGAUACAAGCAUGUAUGAACUAAGAUUUCUAGAAGUAAAGGUGAAGGAAAGCAAAGGAUGACUGAAUCAACUGAUGGACUUGAUAUGCUAAGAAGUGUCUAGCUGUAACAUGAGAAUUCCAUAGGGUGCAUGCAUGAGAGAGAGAGAGAGACCUAAUUGGUGUAGUCGACAAGAUUGAAAUCAUAAGAAAGUAAAGAUUUGCCACCCGUCUGAACUGUCAAAGCAAAAAAAAAAACAAAUGAAUUACAAAAGGUUCCUAUGGUCAAAUUGCGAUAAUACAGAAAGGGAACAUCUAAAUCGGUGUUACAGCUACCAUUGCAAAGUUUCUUUAUUCGAUAUGGAAAAAUGCAUUACAUGUUUAAUGUAUGAAGCCAUUGAAAUACUUUAAUGUACCUUACGUAAAAAACAGUGGAUAAUGAAAUUGCCAGAAUUAUGGUAUCGCAUAAAAUGAAGGUUACAUUGAGCGAAAAGCAUGAUCAGGGCUUUACCAAAUAACAAAAUCAUACUUCUCCUUUUCUCAAUAUAUGGCAUUUUAGGUUUCAUUGAAGACAAGUCUUUGAAAAGGAUUUACUUUGUGUUGUUUUUAAGGCAUGAAAUUUAUAUCACUAGAUUCAUCCUCAAAAGUACUUAAUGUGGAUUCAUAUCAUAUAAAUCACAUAUUAAUGAAGUAAUUCUUGGUCAAAGUCUUGUAUUAACGAAACCUAAUAUGUCCUGUAUUGACAAAAUGAGGGAGUAUAUUAUCUAACAGUGCAUGUAUACAGGCACGAUACUGGUAGCGCGUAUUACAAGCAAGGUAUCUUAAAAACAUUGCAACACAGUGCCAGACCAGGUAAGCAACUAAGCAUCUCAUGUAUCCACUAUUUUAAGGGAAGUUGAUCCAGAGUGAGGAAAUAAACAUUUUUAAGGAGAUAUAUCAAUUUGCAAUGUGAAAAUGAUACGGAGUAGUAUAAUCAUUUCACUGUGAUAACAAAUACUCCCUCCGUUCUAAAUACUUGUCGCUGUUUUAGUGCAAACUAAAACAGCGACAAGUAUUUAGGAACAGAGGGAGUAACUUCCAUUUACCGUUAGACAUGAUACAAAAUAAUAUGUUGAAAAAAAAUCUAGCCAAAAACUAAAAAACAAACAGAAAAUCUGCAUUAAACGAUGACAAACCCAGCAGGUAUGUUGAUUAACAAAAUAUGUAUGAACAAAAAACAACGCAUCAAUACCUGUUCAAACAAUCCUUUAGGUAGAAAUGUCAGCACACUGUACUUUGUAGUCGACACAGAAUUUCCCUGGAAAUGUAGAAUGAGAAUGUUAAAGAACUAAUUCUAGCAGAAAAACAAAGUAGCGCUCUGCAUUAGAAUCGCGAUGGUCUGAUACCCAACAUGAGGGAGAUUCUGAAACUAAACAGAAGAGCUAAUUGCAACUAGAAGCAUGAAAAAAGUAUAGCUUGAUCUUUUUACAACAUCAAGUCUGAAUACAUUCAAGCAUUUACACUAACUUGGAACAAAAUGUGGGUGUCAAAGAAAAUGCAUGAAUACACCUACUUACAAUAAAGCACCAAUUUUGCAGUGAUUGGACAAACUAUGGUUAAAAUACUUAAUAAUAGAGUUCUACGUAUUUGGAGGCAUAAAACGCAUUGCAGUUGGAGCAGUGGCAUUAUCAUGUUAGUCAGUCUAACAUGGCAGUGAAUGACGUGAAUUUUUUGCUAGUUUAGACCUCUGGCCAGCGCAAUUGACAAAAAUGCCCCCCUCUCAAAACUAAUGCCAAAAAUGGUCUGGCAGAAGGCCCGAAAGGCGCCACAUUUCAUUUUUCGCCAUCUGAGCUGCGCAUGCAAACAUUCCGACAACCUGAAAGGCGGAAAGGCCGUUCCGCCUACUGCAUUUGAUGAAUGCACCUGACAAGGGCGGAAGGUGAACUGGGCCCUGCAGAUGGAAGCAAUUUCCACAUUUGUUACAGACCUGGAAUCUUUUUUUUUGUUGGAGUCGACGGACCAUGUAUGUGCGGAUGCAUAGGAAUCGGCAAGCAGCCUAGCUGCUAGUUCACGGGCACGUUUUACAUUUUCUUUCCUCAGGUUUGGCUAGUGCUACCACGUUGAUACUAAUCAACGCUUCUUGUGAAUGGGCUUAGUUGCUUCUACUAGUCGUGCGAGCGUUAAUCUUUUCUCUGUGCGCCUGCAUGUGCGGGCGUGGGAAUCGGGUCAGGUCCCUGCAGACAGCACGCCUGGCUGCACUGGGCCUGCUUCAGCUUCCGCCCCUGAAAAUUCACUUUCGUCCAUUUCAACUGGAAACAAGUAGGCUCCACCUGUCCUGUUGGCGGAAAGUUCAUUCCUCCUACCCAGUGGCCACUGGGUCAGUUGCUGGGCUUUCCACCACGUCAUUUUUCAAAUUAUAUUUCAGAUGGAGCUAUUUUUGCCAAUUCCGUUUGACAAGGGGCUACAAGAGCAAAGAAAUUGAAUGACAUAGCAAGCAAUCAAUUUCCCCUUAUAGGUAAAUAAUAAACAGCUUUGCUUCAGCUUACUGUCAUCAGCUGGUGGCUGACUGCCCUGACCAAACACAAGUUCAGUAAUCUACACAGCAAGCGGCACACAGGUGCAGCUAAGCACAUGGAUGAACAGAAUAUUCCAGCCAUUGAGGCUCAGCUCUCGAAGCUUAAUGCCAGGUGGCAUCUACAUUGUAUUGCAGCCCGUAGCACCCUGAUUGACUAGUAACCCAACAAUGAGACAAGCUCUAAUCCACCCAAUGACCUCACAGUUGGCAAGAAAUGCAGCCCUUAGUGACACGCACCACCCUACAUAACUUUCUCGUGGACUAAUCAGUAUGAAUCAUAUAAACCCUCUGCAAGCUGCAGUGAAAUAAAACUACUACUACUGAACUAGCUAUUGUCCCAGAUGGCCAUCUCCAACCCAACCGCCCAAGCAUGAAACAAGGGGCCAGUUACGAGAUCUAGGCCUACAGACCCCUAGACCUUGAGACAACCGACCUGUUGAUCAUCCGAAUUAGAGGAGGAGGUGCACACCCGUACCUUGUACCCGACCGGCGCGUUGGCUUCGCGGUCGUUGCAGUAGAUGGUGCGCACGGUGGGUGCCUGCGGCUGCGGCUGCCGUCGGAGGCUGCCGCCCCCGCCGCCGAGACGCGCCGUCCUGGACGCCUCAGCGCGGCCGGCCUGAGAGGUCCCCCCCCGCGGCGACUGCUCGCCGCCCAGCCGCGCGGUGGCAACCCGCAUCAUCUCCUUUAUGCGCGAGCUCAUCCUGCCCCCCUCAGCGCCAAACCCAGCGCUGGAGGAGCCGGCGGGAGAUCUGGGGAAACCUCACGGUGGAUCGGAGGGGAGACCUAGUCGGAUUUGCGCGGCUUUCUGGUGGAUUUCAGUGCCUCGCUGAGGAGGGGAUUCGAUUUGGGUCACGCGUUCCCGUAUGUGCGUAUUUUUUCCGUGUAAUUUUUUUGUUUUGCCUUUUUCUUUUCCUUUGGCUCCGGGAGAAGAGAAGACAGGAGGGGAAGGAAAAGCGAAGGUCGCGACUUCGCGAGGAAGAAAAUGAAGGGAUUACUGCAGAUCACACCCUUGAUUAUUUUCGAAUAUGGAAAGCUCCAGUAACUGAAGUUUGAAAUUCCAGCCGCGUUUGUCUUUUCCUUCUUCGAGCAAACAACCGUGUUCUUGACUUGUUCUAUGUUUUUGCUGUCCGGAGGACUACCCGAUUUGCAAGUAAAUAAUGGCAUUAAUUUCAUAUAAGCACUUUAGGACACCACACUUGACAUGGUUUUCUACUGACGACGACUAUAUGGUGGCUUUGAUGUUCCAUGAAUAGAUCUUUUUAGCGGUGUUUCAAGUUCAGGUGUUAUAACAAAGCAUUACUCUUGACCUAUCUUCCCUUGCGACCAUGCUUUUUGAAUCGCCAAGUCGAGUCGAAUCGCCCCCCAACAGACUUGGAGGUUAGUAUGAUUAGUCAGAAACUAGUCUCGACUAAUCAACCCAAGUCGAGCCUAGUGAUCAGUGAGGUUUAGGGAGCUCUAGCAGGGAGCAUUAGAGGAAAGGAGUGAAUUGCAGUAGAGGGGAAGCACGAGGGAACAGUUUUUGUGGUGCUGGAGCUUGAAGAAGAGGUUCAUGGCGGCUAGGAUCUAGGAGUCGAUAAACUUAGAACGCCCGUGUUGAGGCAAACGCGUUGAGGAAGACGACUUCAAAGGUGGUUGGCUCAUUAUCAGGAUAGGUGCGUGCCUGGCAGCCCAUAAAGGCCUAUUAGAAAACCCUAACUCCCCCCUCCCCCCCCCCCCCACACACACAUUGCCUUCUUCUACACCACACACGCACCAAUGGCGGCCAUCUUCUUCCCCUUCCCUGCUGCUCCCCAUGCCUUCUCUCCCUCCCCGAAAAGAAAUAUCUUCCGAAAAUUCUUCUCUUCGAGUCAAGUUGAGGGGCUCGCGGCGUUCCUAGUCACGGCGGCUAGUCGGAGAAGUCGCGGUUCUAGCUGACGAGUCGCGCGACUUGCUCUGCUAGUCGAGUCGCGGCUGCAAGCCGCCAUCAUUGUGCUGGCUCGGCGACUAGUUGGCGAUUCAAAAACCAUGCUUGCGUCUUAUAAUUUUGUUUCCUCUUAGAUUUUUUUCAAUUAUGUAUGGAACUCUUUUAAGCUUGGCUAACAUAUUGGGUCAAUUUGUCUCCCAUUGAAAAAAAAACAAUUUCCUAUAAAAAAUAAAGUAUCCACAAAACAAUAUGCAUAGCGCAGUUGUUUUCAAAGUUGUGGAUGAAACUUUGUGUUGUACAGGCAACCACUUAAUAACUUGUUCGGUUGUAGAAUUCCCCGCAUGUAUUGAAGAGGAUUAAGAGAGAUCUAAGGAAAAUUGAUCUGCAAUUCGAUCAUUCCCUCUUAAUCCCCAUCGGAGUGGAAUCAACCGAACGGGGCUAAUGUGGACCAUAUCACCUUGAGGACUCCAUUCUUCUUUUAUGGCAACGUUGCAUGGACCUUGAUAUGAACGCACGUGCCUGCAAUCUCUAUUAUUUUUUCGUAAAUAGCAACUGUCCUUUCUGUAUCUUGUAAUAUGUUUUCUACAAUUUUAUUUGGGAUAUUUCGUCAAGAACCCAAAUCGAUUACAUUUUCCACUUUGGCGAAUGAGUCAAGAUUCUCCAUGUGUUCCAGCGAGGCAACUGCGAGCUACACAUGUAUGGUGAAACAAGCCUCGCAACUUCGUAAGUAACUCCAAAACUACAUCAGCACGUCUCUUGAACUUUGGAAACACACAGACGUGUUCCACGACCGUGAGGCGACGGAGUUAACGGGGCAGCGUUGCCGGAAAGACAAGAGUACCGUAACAAGGCCCAGACUGGGCUGCAUCGGCGUUCUGCCUCUAUUACAAGCGAGAGAUGUUGAACCGGCCAAGGUUAGGCAAGGCAGUCAGCGGGAGGAUUUUUUUUUUUUUGUUGUUGGUUUUGAAGAGGCGCGGGAGGAGAAGAACUUGCUUGACCAGCCCACAAGAUCGUGAACCGGUAUGACAUUGACAUUUUAUUUAGGGCCAGUAACGUGUAAUUAGAAGUACUAGCUUACAUCUCUUCCUUUUUGAACCGUCAGAUCUGCAACCAUAUCAUCUCUCCCCUUUGUCCUCUUCGCUAUGCCGAUUUUAGUGAAACGCCGCUGCCAAAUCUUCACAGGAUUGUGAACCGGCAGCAGCUUCGACCCUUCAAUAUUAUUAUUACAGCUAAAUAAAAGACUGAAAUUAUAGGUGAGGUCCUUUGUUCUAAUCGCCCAAGCGAGCAGAAGCCAAGAGAUUACGUGCAAGCAUAGCAUGGCCAUGUUCGCCAACUCAUGACAUAGUGGCACAGGGACUAACCACCUGGAUUACAUGGCUAGCUUCCAUAUAUGUGCAACAAAAUAUUGGUACCAGGCAGCCAUCUGUGCCACCAACCAUAAACUCCCUGAUCCCAAAAAAUACAAAAUACCAAGAGUUUCCACCCACAUCAGUACAAGUGCACAACAGUUUAAGAGACAAGCCAAGGAUCAUUCCCAGUUUGUGGGAAUAAAUAAGAGUCCGCAGCAAACAGAAAACUCAAAAUCGCUGGCAAAGUUAGGAUGUGGAAAAAAGAAAGGCUUAAAAUGAUCUAGCCAUGGCGUCAGAAUCUAUUAUCAAUGUUUCUCUCUCAAGGAUUUCCCUUCUAUAUAAAGUAUAAUAUUACAAAGGGGCUGCUUAAAUAUCAUGGACUCCUGGAAUGUAAAGAGGGUAAUAAUCAACACUACAUGAGCCUCCUUUUUCCUGAGGCUGCUUCCUAAGACUGACUGACUGCUUCCCCGAGGAUCCACAUACACCCUCCCCUCUCCUCAAGUUCCACCUCCCACCAUGGAAGUUAAACCCCCACCAUGGAUCCGAUGCUAACCAACUGUACGCGACCUGGAGAAAGUCAGUCAGCUUGGUGGUUCAAUCAAGACAGAGCAUCACGAUAUUGCCCAAAUGGUAUAAUUGGCAGGAUCAAUAAGUAGUUUAUGCUCGCAGCAAGAUCCAAAAGAACCAAUCUACCAUGACUAAUGUAUGACAAGAAUGAUGUCUUAUGUCUACUUUCAGAUACACUAUGGUCCAGGUGAAACAAUAUUUUAAAGUUUAGUAAUUACUGGCAGUAGUAGACAGACCACAGAAGUGUAAAGAUAUUUGCACACAUGACCUUUUAAUCCAAGGCUAACCCAACCUUGUAAGCUACGUGCUGUUUGUGCUAACGCUGCUGCUUGAAUGCAAUUAGACAGUGGUGAUGUCCUUGUUAGUCUGUUACAUACCUAAGGCAUCACCUCCUGAUUCUAGGUUUGCACCGGAACUCUGCUAAGAGCGCUAUGUGAUCUGAUGACCAUUCAGGUGAAGGAAGAGCAGUGUCUUUUCUUAAGCUCUCCUCAUCCAGAAGUUCCAACAAAGACUCCACGGUCAACGAAUCCGCUGAAACAAUAAAGGAAACAUGAUCAACUGACCAUAAUCAAACAUAUCACAAUACUACAAGCUGAUUCUGAAGCAAUUCCCAGAAGUCUAAAUACAGCAUACAGGUCAGGUACCUACCUGUGUAAAAUAUAUAAUCAACAGUUCCAGUGAAAUCCCUUGUGCAAUUUGUGAAAAGUGGUUCAUUUGUUCCUGGAUCCAUCCUCCUUCGCUGGUGCUCUAAAUCAUAGCCAACACCUACCAUUCUUGCAAAUGAAGAAUAUGCACUGACCUGCAAACAAGUAAACAUUGGUCAGAAUUUUAAAGGAAGAACAAGAUAGACAAGCUUGAUAGUUUUACUGUACCAGAGGAAGCUGGUGCGUCAACUUGCUCACGGGGCGUAAAAUUGAAAGUGGGUCUAUGGCCAGAUCUGGAUGCAAUUGAUCAACUUUGCCCACCGCAAGAAGCCCAUGUGGAGUACUGAAAGACAAAAGGAAGCACUUAGAGAUUUAAAGUUAGAAAAAACAAGUAAACCUGAAAAAUAUUGCUCCAAUAGAAUCUUGACAUGCACCUCCCCGGGAUUGAAUUGAAAUCCCCACAGACCAACAUUGGAAUGUCUGCACUGUUGGCUAUUUUCUCCAAUCCUUUUAGUAGUGUUUGAACCUGCAAAAAACAUACUUACUUUCGAUCUGAAUUUUUCAGAUGUUGCAGAAUGCUAGCCUACAGAGAAUGUGACAAUACUGACCUCCCAUAGUUUCACAUCUUUGAGGUCUUGGUGGACAUUUACAUGUGUAUUGGCCUGAAAUUUGAGAUCAUUUAAAAGAAUGAGACCUCCAUGACUCCAAGUAGCAUAAGCCUAGGCCGUAUGAACAAUGGGAAAUCUGUAGUAAAGUUGGCCUCAAAAUCUAGAGUCUAGAGAGCCAAGUCCCAAUCAUCCGCCAUUAACAUAUAGAUGUUUCCGUGCAUCUUAUGCUACUAAGGUCAUCCUACACAGAUAUAUGUUUCACUUCAUUCCUAAAUGUUGUGAGCAAAGAAGGAAAAGAAUCCAUAUGUUGUUCUGCACUAUGCUGCUAGCAGUUCAAUAGCUAAACAUACGGGAAAGUCCACUUUUGGCCCCUUAACUAUUGCCUCAGAUCAAAAUCAUCUAAUUUGCACCCUCAACUAUCAAAAGCAUCCAAGUUACAUCUGAAGGCAAUAUUUGUUAGAGGCUUUGUGUGAUGUGGCAUCCAUGUCAACGUGUUUUGCCACAUCAAUCGCUGCUGGGCAGUAGGGCCCACAUAUCAUGGCUGCCGUGCCCCUUCUUUCUUUAUAAUUCUUCCUCCUUAGCCAUGCCAUGGCCUCCUCUGUAGGCUAUAGCUUCCACUGCUGCUGCUACAGAUAACCCAUGUUUGACGUUGCAUAACAUCUUCUGAUUUAGAGAGGGGUAUCCUGACAGACAUGUACCAGUCUCCGCAAACCGCUGCACGGCUGCAUCCUGAGGGGAAUGGACAAAGAGAGGAUUAGAGAGGAAGGCUGAGGAGGGAGGCGUUUAGGGCGACUCCAACACGGCCACCCAAAUCGGACACAAAAAGUGUGUCCGUUUGGGUCUGCUGGUGCCCCUAACACGGUCACCCAUUUGGUCCGUUUUAUUAUUUAGUAUUGGCCACGGAUAGGCGGGCCAGGGCAAGGACAAGGGAGGACAAGCGCAGUGUCCACCCGCUGUCCGCCCAGACACAAACCCGGUCAGAUUUGGGUCGGCAAUGGGUUGAGCUGGACAGAAAAGCAGACAGCCGCCACACCGGACGAAAUGGGUCGCCGCGUUGGAGUCACCCUUAAUGCUAAGCUGGGAAAGAGGAAGGGAACAGAAAUAAGAGGAUGAGGACAAGGGAGGGAGAAAAGGGUGCUUCCAAAAAAUCAAUCCCAGGCAUGUGGGGCCUACUGCCCAGUGGAGAAUGAGAUGUCAAAGUUGCUGAUUUGGCGGCUACAUACAGAAUAUCACUCAUGAAACCAGCUUCUGGUCCUAUCGAACGGUUUCAUGAGUUGAUGGUUCAAUUUAGACCAGGCAAAAGUUGAGGGAUCAUAAUUAGGCUUUUCCAAACAUAAAUGAAUGUCAUGCUGUAAAAGUAGUGUUCGUCAUCCAGUAAACUGGUUCGAAUAUCCAACAAGCGCACAACUACUUUAUACACAUCUAAAGAAAGAACAGCUAUUUACAUACCACACAAAGGAGCUGCCUUUUACCAGGAGUUUCAGUUCCUUGGUUGCCAAAUUUUGCUUCUAAAACCGCAAUCAGCGCAAUAUUAUCCUUCAAAGCAAAUAGAACGUGUGAUAAAUAACAUCACUUUUUUUUGCGAAAAGUGAUAAAUAACAUCACUGUAGCAUACAUUAUUUCUUUUGAAGUUAAUCUUACUUUAAUCAGUCGACUUAAAGCCACUCUUUUCUGGGAAGCUGGAAUAAUAGCUUCUGUUAAAGACUGUGCAGCCUUAUUGAACUCAACCUACACAAGCAAGUACAAGUAUUAGAUAGCUGCAAAUAUCAAGCUGCUGCAAACCUGCAGUACAGGUACCUCGUAUUUUUUGACAUGUGAAAAUCUAUCUCUACGGAAGAAAGUAGCACAGCCAUCAAUGGCAUUAGGAACUCCAGCAUACACCUGUGACAACAGUAAAGUAAAAUCAAACAAGAGACAAAAGGUAUUAAACCAAAAUAUGAAGGAAAAAAUCAACCCAAAGAUACCUCUGUUGUCCGUUUCUUGUAAAGCGCCUGAUACCCAUGUUUAUCAAACUCAGGAGCAAAAAAAUCCUCAAAGUGGUUCAAUUGUACCUGAAAACAGUAGGACUUGGCUUAAUUCCCUCCUGUUACAAUCUUCGGUCACUCUUCGUUUUUAUUGUAAGCCGCUUCAGUAAACUCUUCAUAAUAUAUAUGCAGACAAUAUUCGUGAAAGUUUAAACAGCAAGCAAACUAUCAUAAAUUCAUAAUCCAACAUCACUGAAAAGUGAAAACAAUCAAACAAAGUGAUGGCACAAAUAUGGAAACGAACAGCCCAGCAGUAUAUGAAAGAUUGUAGGUUGAUGAACAGGGUUCCGGCAUUAAAGUUUACCGAGUCGCAAAAAUUAUAUGAUCAACCAAAUGAGACAUGCUCGGUUCCUAAAACAAAUAUAUGAGAUGAAAAGCUGAAAAUAGGUCACCAAAAUAAAUAAAUUCAGAAGAUAGCAAACAUAUGAUACCUCCUGAAGACAUAUAAUAUCAGCAUGAUAACCAAUAAUUUCGCGCAUCAAAUUUUGUCUUCUGUAAGUCCAUGAAAGUGCCCACGUUGGGCAGUAGCUAUAUGCAUCAGAUGUAGCAUAUGCAUCAGCAAGAAUAUUAUAGGACAGCACCGUGAAUGUCCCAAAAGAAGAAGUCUGGCUGUCUAUAUCUGAGUGACCCAAAACAUCUCCAUUCACUUGGAUAAGGCGGCGUGGAGUAGGAGUUGGUGCUGGAAUCACACGUGAUGUCAUAAUUGAAGUUGGAGACCCCGCAGGUACUUUCUUUUCCGUAUCCACCGCUGCACAUUCAAAUCUUAGAACAUGCCCAAUAUCAUCAGCAGUUGGUGUAUACGUCUGCGAGCGUCCCACUUCAAACCAUGUUUCACCCGAGUUCUUAUCAGUGCCUGAGGGAUACAAGGGAACAGGUCCAUUAUUAACUCCAGGGCUCUGUCCAAGAUUUGACAUUGAGCCAGACCCAGAACUUAGAAUCCCAGAACUACCGCUGCCAAAUCUACCAAAUAGCUCCUCCUCUUCAGCUCCAUUUUCAUUUAAAGCACUACUAGCUCGCUCAUGCAAAACCCUGUGGUGCUGCCAUGCAUCAGAGAAGCACUUAGCAGAACAAUGGUAGCUCUUAGCAGCAGGUAUUUUUGACUUGAGACAACCUAAGCACUGAAUUGUUGCUUGCUCCAUCGGAUGUACACUGCAGAUAGUAACUUUUCGAUCACUCUGUAUGCGAUACCUUCGAGCGAAAAGUCAAAUCAGUAUAACCAUGUGCUACUAGAUACAGAAAAAGUUUAGAAGAACAUGAUUGAAUAUAGUAACUACAAGAAAGGACACCUAAAUUGCCAAUGUUUUAGCAUGUAUGAGAUCCAGGAAAACUUGCUAUCAGCAUCUUGGAAGUCCAUUAUUCAGAGACAUUAGACUCACAACACUUCCAUUAUAAGCAUAGUAUGAAUAAGGCAAAAUGAAGCAGGUUGCCAAGAUGUCGCAAAAAAAAAGAAGCAAAUUACAAGUUUGCUUGUCAUGAGUUGCUGCUGCUGUUGUUUUUUCUUGAUUUUAGUCCCUCAACCGGCUAACUCGUGAUCAUUCAUCUCUUGCUUUCUUUACCAGAUCAACCAUGCAACUGAUUUCUUUAGCGGACCAGGCAAUAUAUGUAAUAAGCAAAAUUCUACAGUUUAGAUCAGAGAUUCAGAGGACUAUUGCAGGCUCUCAUAUAUCAUCAUUAGGGCAUGACGACCAGACAAGGAAGUUGCUGUGUAUAUUAUUAUUCCUAGAAGAAAAACAUUUAAGUACUGUUCAAGGAGGCGACCAACUAUAGCCCAGUGCCCACCCCAUCAAUCGAUUAGUGUCUUUCAGAACACUUCAUUUCAACAAUGUGUCUAUAAAUGGCCACACUUACUAUACUCAAACCUCAAACCUUAAAAGUGAAUAAAGAUGCACAUAUCACAUGAGAUUCUAUCAAGCUAAUGACUGAAAAGCAACACAAUGAAAAUAUAAAAAACUAUAGAAUUGAAGGACCAAAACCAAUGAAACUGCAUGAGUGUUAGUGGGACCAAGCACCACCAUUUCGAAAAGUUCUAAGGUCUAAAGUCUCAGCAAUAAAUGCUAUUUAAACCUACAUGACAUUAAAAAAACGGAUGUGAUAAAACAAAUAAAUAUUCACGAACAUGAUCAAUCAUUCAGAGCGGGAUUCUAAAAUUGAUCACUGAAAUUGUUCGGCCACCCAGCUAUUAGUGAUUAUACAGCCGAGCUAGCUCAUUGCAGUGGGUGGCAUAACCAGCGGUUACAAGUUCUUUUCUCUCAUAUUUGCCUCUCCAUUUUUCAUUUUUUUAUUUCCAAAUAGAUCUACAAUGUUAUUUGAAUUUUAAAAAUAAUAGGUAGGGCACUCCUUACAUACAUGACCUCCUAGGCCAUUUAAAACAAAUAUGCAUUGUUUGGGGUUUUUUAUAUAACAUAAAGUAAGUUAACUAUGACACACUGCCAAAAUAUUUUUGCAUAAAAAACAUUAAAUUUGAUAUAGCACAGAAAGAACGUGGAUAUCCAGCAAGAGAUUAAAGAAGGCAAAGUGGGGCAGGCAGUCAGCAAAACAAAACUAGUGGAUCACGAGUUUCAAACUUUUACUAGCUUUAAGCAACUGAAAUAACUUGCCACUGAACCUAGUGAGCCAACAACUCUAACGUGUAAUAGCAAACAAGUAAUAAUUCUUUUGAAGCUCCAGAAUAAUCAAAACUGAGUCUAGAAUCAAGCUAGAAUGCCCAUUUGAGUUCACUGGUGAUGUUAGAGUGAUACUUAGUUCAAGGAGUAUAUCCAGAUACCCCAAUCAAAAAAAUCAUCUGAAGCCAUGCGAACAAACUGAUGGCACUUCUAGAAUAGUGUCUUUCCACAAAAUUAGUUAGAUAAGCCUAUGUAAUCCCAAAAUUUAUAAAAUGCUCCCGUUCCAUCCAAGAUGAACGUAAACAUUCCUGCACAACGAUUGGCAACAAUCCUCAACCCAACAGCCUUCAUCACCAUCCUAUGAUGCUAUCUAACACUCAAUAGUUCUAGCAAAACCAAAAUCAGAUGGUCUGUUUUGCUCAAUGAAUUACUUAUUAUCAUUACCAACCCGUGUGGCAGGUUGAUAUGGCAUAGACUAAAUAGUAUGAUUCAUAAACAGGCUUAAAAUAAUGCAAUACUGAGUUCUUUACCAAAUCAAGCAUUGGCAUUUCAUGUUCCCUGGGUUUCCAUUCGUUCCAAAAACAAACAACUGUCUUGCUAGAGAAAAUCAUGCUCAGAAUUCAUAUAGUUGUGCUUCAUUUAUGCAAGAAUCAAGACGAUUCAUGAGUUUAGCAAGUAGUUAAGCAUCUAGCAAACUGAUUGAUACUUAAAGCCCCCAUUUUCUUUUUUUCUUUUUUGUCAAAAUUCACUUGUAGCAACGCACAAGCGGAACUAAGCAUUCGAAAGUGUAUAUCCUAUUGAACCAAAAGUUGCAAUCACGAGCUGCUCACUCACCAUCUGUAUCGCAUGAAGUGGCCAUCAACAGGCGCGGCCUCAGGCACGUCGUCGGUGGAGAUUACACCGUUGGGCAGCCGCAGCAGCACGUACGGGGUGAUUUCGCACCCCACGAUCGGGAUCUCCGACGGCAGGUGCACCCGCACCACGCUCAGCAUCCUCCACUCCUGCUCCCCUCCCCUGCUCUCCUCUGCCCAGCCCAGGGGCGGAUCUAGAUGGUGUGCCGGGUGGGCACCGGCACACCCAAAAUUUGUGGACGCUGCGAGGACGGCGGAAGGCCAGGGCGACGUCGGGAGAGGAGGGGAGCGCCGCCGUCAAGGGGACCGGGAGAGCGAGACAGGGUUAGGGUUGGUUGCCUGAGGGUAUUUUUGGGCAUUUCGAAAAUCUAGAGUUGUGUCCAGCGCAUUUUUUUUCUAAACUAGUAUUGCGUAAGCGGGACGGAGUGGUAAUGUUUGUGCAAGACAAGAGAGAGCCGGAGAGGAUGACAUGUUUUUUUUAACGAUAAUAUUAAAAACUAGUCAAAUGUCCAUGGGACAAACUCAUAUGCGAUACUCACCGCAUUUGUAGUUAUAGAUUAAUACCUUUUCAUAGCAGUUUGCAGAGAUGGAACCAUGAAAGGCGUUGCAGACGUAUAAUUCACUCGCUAAAAAAUCCAUAUUGAGAAAAUAAUUAUGUACUUGAUAGACUCGGUCUCACGAAGUUCUGGUAAGAAGCCGGUUCGGAGGGACAAAGUUCCAGAAAGAUGGCCGCAAUGUCACGCACGACCAGGCGAAUUUGUGAUAGUUUUUUUGUUAUGAAAAAGCAAAGUAUAUGUGAUCGGCAUGCGACCUUGUGGAUUGGGGUUGAAAGUGUUGGACUGCAGUGUAUACCUUCAACCCACCACGUCUUGAUUUAAAGGCCAAAUCAACGUAGGAUUCGGACUCCUUAACUAAAUACGAUUAGGAUUCCCUAUCUAUGUCGGAUUUGGUCUCCUAUUCUGUGAUUGGCAAUUGGGAAUUUAGACAUUAAUCCAUAGCUUCUCCAACUCUUUAGUGAUUGAACGUAACGGUUGGUACAAGCUAGGCUGGGCGCGAUGGGCUGAGGCUGAGGCAAACCAACCAUGGACCUCGUACCGUUUAGAUUGAAAAAAGGACAUGUUUUUUUUUGUUUAUCGAUCAGGACGGACAGGCGCACGCACGAGGGUGAGUUGGAGGUUCAGAUCGGUUGGGCUUAGUGGAAGUUUUAAUGAAAAAGGCCUACGGACGUUCGCCAUCACCACCGAUUGUAAUAUAAUAGACAUUGUAGAUUAGUUAUGAUUUGGACCACCGGGCACCGGAACCCAAGCUGCUCAAUUUUGGCAAAAUUUGCAGAAAGCAAACUCAAACCCGAUGGCUCCUAUGUAGAUGGGAGUGAACUCAGAGUAUUCUCAUCGUGUUGCUACAAAGCUUUUCUUUGAUGAUGUUCCCUCCGUUGUGUUUCCCUUGCGUGCUCAAGGACACAAUGUUGUGAUUGAGGAAAUUGUUGAUGACCCUAGCUCUGCCAUCUUCCGUCCGUAAGUGAGGGCACAAGCAGCGCGUUGCUACUCCAGAAGUAACUUCAGGUCUGUGCCAUAGUUCAUGCUCUACCAUGUUUAGAGGAUUCAAGUCCUAGCUUGUUUCUGAUGUGCAGAAGAAACAGUCCAAGUGUCGAUGUUAUACAUUGUCAGAAUAUGAUUCGGGAUAGCACACGACCAAGGAUUACUACUACUCUUGAUGGCAACAGUCUACGUGUUUAUCAUUUGUUGGAACUCCAAGCACAAAGUGAUGUAACAAAGGGUGUUUUCCCCCACAAGUGUUUUACCCCCAACAAGCACCACAAUGGUUGUCAAUCACAAUGAUCACUAUACAGAAUCACUUAUUUCUGACGCGUUAAAAAACUUCUAGUCUGACGCAAAUGGGACGUGUCACUAAUCAAGUGUCAAAGAUGACUCGGGAACUUCUGACGUGUCAACAAGCGUCAGAAGUAGGAAACCCUAAUGACGCUUCUUGUCGAUUGUUAUUAGAGACAAGUAUCCUCAUGUCGGGUGAAGGCCAUGUUUGUUUGAGCUUCUGCUUCAGCUUUUGGUGGUUCUAGCUCUCUAAAAAGCACUGCUUCCGUUUACACAUGAAGCUGAGAAGCACGUCGUGAGGUGCUUCCCUCCAGAAGCUGCAGGAAGCACCUCCAGACGUGCUUCUCAGCUUCAUGUGUAAACGGGAGAAAUGCUUUUUAGAGGGCUAGAAGCAGCAAAAGCUGAAGAAAAAGAAAAAGCCCAAACAAACAGGGCCGAAGAUGAGUAAGAAGAUAGAGGGGCCUCACGGUGAUAUCUACUCGUGUAAGAUAGAGAACUCGGCGAAAGACAAGGGUUUAUACCGGUUUGACUUGCUCCUUUUCGUGAAAGCAAGCCUACGUCAUGUUGGUAAUCUAAUAUUUGUGUAUGAUAUUACAAGGUGUGUUCUGCCCAUCGAGGGCGCCUAGCCCGCUUUAUAUAGUCAAACAACUAGGGUUUCGGGUAGAGCCGGGUACAACUUUUACAUGGACUGUACCUUCCUAAACUAGUUAGGAUUCUUCCUUUACAAGAUAUCUACAACUAGUAUUUCCUAUUACCUGAACUAGGCUUCCUUCUUCAAUACGACAACUUCCUUGACCGAGUGAUAGGGGAUGUCUGGCUUGUGCGCUGAGUCGACUUUCUCUGUUCAGUCGUCUCUCAGCUACCCGGCUAGAAUAUCCUCGUCAUUAGCCCCGAGUACAAUGUGGAUAGGGGGGAGCUGAAUAAUGCCAUCGUCGUCAAUCUCGAAUCUUUCUCGUUUCAUGUGCUUUUCUUGAGUUGCUUCUUCUUGAUUUUAUUCCGACCUCAAAUCCACAAUGUACUUCUCUAUGACAGCUUGAGGUUCGAGCUCAUGGCUUCUUAUGCAUAAAGUUCAGCUAUAAGAGCAAACCAGCUUCUAUGUGGCAUGUGUUAGCAUUGCAGCGAUAUUAGCUCCUGUUUUGAUUUGUGUUUUUUCCUUAGCUGUAGCGUUGCUUUGAAUUAAUUAGCAACUACGUCGUGCAUGUAAAAAAAAGUGAGUUCCAACAAAUCUCUGACGUGCGCUAGAACAAGAGGUCAGUGAGCAUCAAAAGUAUACUGACGUGGCGACACAAGGAAGAGCUAGGAAAUUCCUCGUGAACAAAGUUGACGCUUCCACAAAGGAAAGAGUCACAUCAGCUAGAAUCUCCUUCGACGCUUACGAAGUAAGGAAGCGUCAGUAGAAAUGAAGAGUCAGAAGUGUGGAAGUUCUCCUACGCUUCUCCGAGGUAGGUGUCAGAAAUAUCUUAUUGACGCUGCCUCGUGGAUGCUACCUAUGACAGUCCUUAUAAGGAGCCGCAGAGAUAAGGAUUUGCGCUGACGCUUUUUAGUUUUGUGUCAGUGGGGAGCUUGCAAGAGUAAAGUCUAUAGUAGUGAGUGUAAGGCUAAACUUUAAAUAAACAAAUAAUAACUUUAAGUAAACUAAUGCAAAACAAUAAUUUAAACUAACUAGAAGAUGCAAUAACUAUAUAAUAAAUACUACUACUUAUUAUGCAACUAAAUAACCAAGAGAGAAUGUUUAAAUGGCUUUUUACAAGAUAUCUAAAAAAAAGCAAUUAAAUAAAUGCAAAAUAAUUGUAACAGAGGUGUUUCUUAUGAUAUUAAAGAGGACCAGGAUACUCUUUGCGGCAUGAAUAUAGCACAUAGGACAAGUUCAUUUACUUUGCAAUGUUUUUAUGAAGUGAAUGAUAAGCAUUCAUAUGGACAUCACGUCCUAAUAUUGAGAAUAUGCAAAAUAUCUCACUAAUGCUCCCUUGGUAAGUGACUCAUCAAACUAGAUUAUUGCUUUAGGUACUUUGACAUGAUGUUGAACUUUAAUGCAACUUUGAGCAAGCAAGACCACCAUUGUUGUCAUUUGGUAGCAUAAUGCGUAUUCAUUUAUCCCUAGCGGGUCAAAUCACUGAAAGGUGAAAAUCAUAGUGGUUCCCAAAAUUUUUGUCACUAUCCGGUUGCCACUACCAAUUGCUCUAUCUAAUACACACAUCCCCACACAUGCACAUGUAAACUAGUAUGAUUAGUACAAGUAAGCAAGAAGGGAUAGACAUAUGCAUCUAUCAAUACAUCAAAACACAAUCCAAACAUUGCAAACUCAUGACUCAUCUCAUAACAAAAGGUUCACCAAUAAAAAAUAUAACGAUGAUCAUAAUCAUGAUAGGAAACUCGUAUGAUUCUAUUACAACCCAUAGCCCAGCGAGGACUACUCCCUCAUCAUAUUGGUGAUGAUAGAGAAUAUGUUCAAGGAGAAGGAGAGGCGACCGAUGGUAUUUUCCCUUCUAAUCUUGGAUCAAUCUGAUGUUGUUUUUUUUCUUUCCGAGUCGUUGUGCUAUGCAAGCGCAAAGCACGGGGUAUUAAUAAAUGGUUUUAGGUCAAGACGAAUCUUCGGGUGAAAGAAUGCACUUGC
This 32338-nucleotide long non-coding RNA is filed under the name Brachypodium distachyon (stiff brome). RNAcentral describes it as "long non-coding RNA (BDIS_LNC003394)". Lineage: Eukaryota; Viridiplantae; Streptophyta; Magnoliopsida; Poales; Poaceae. The record is from RNAcentral.